UACGGAGGGUGCGAGCGUUGUCCGGAAUCAUUGGGCGUAAAGGGCGCGUAGGUGGCCCCUCAAGCGUGCGGUGAAAGUCAGGGGCUCAACCCCUGGUCGGCCGUGCGAACUGGGGAGCUUGAGCACUGUAGAGGCAGGCGGAAUUCCGGGUGUAGCGGUGGAAUGCGUAGAGAUCCGGAAGAACACCGGUGGCGAAGGCGGCCUGCUGGGCAGUUUUGCUGACACUGAGGCGCGACAGCGUGGGGAGCAAACAGG
This 255-nucleotide ribosomal RNA is filed under the name uncultured bacterium. Its description in RNAcentral is "partial 16S ribosomal RNA". It matches the Rfam family "Bacterial small subunit ribosomal RNA", at positions 524 to 776 of the family's 1533-position model. The record is from RNAcentral.